Molecule: ribosomal RNA, 305 nt
Filed under: uncultured bacterium
Lineage: Bacteria
Description: bacterial SSU rRNA
Rfam family: Bacterial small subunit ribosomal RNA
Source: RNAcentral
GCCUACGGGGCGCAGCAGUAGGGAAUCUUCCACAAUGGGCGAAAGCCUGAUGGAGCAACGCCGCGUGGGUGAAGAAGGUCUUCGGAUCGUAAAACCCUGUUGUUAGAGAAGAAAGUGCGUGAGAGUAACUGUUCACAUUUCGACGGUAUCUAACCAGAAAGCCACGGCUAACUACGUGCCAGCAGCCGCGGUAAUACGUAGGUGGCAAGCGUUAUCCGGAUUUAUUGGGCGUAAAGGGAACGCAGGCGGUCUUUUAAGUCUGAUGUGAAAGCCUUCGGCUUAACUGGAGUAGUGCAUUGGAAACU